RNAcentral lists this unclassified non-coding RNA (652 nucleotides) under Hevea brasiliensis (rubber tree). The record is from RNAcentral. Lineage: Eukaryota; Viridiplantae; Streptophyta; Magnoliopsida; Malpighiales; Euphorbiaceae.
AACAGCAAGCAUAAAGAAAUGAAUACCAUAAACCGUCAAUCGCUUUUUGUAAAGAACAUGAAUCCAAACAACAGCAAGCGAGAAAUAAAUCAAAGAGAAAACGAAGUAAAUCCUAGGGAGGAUGGUUUUCCCAGCAGAAAGAUAGUCUCGGCCACCGUUUUUGCCCUCAAGAUUGUACAUAGCGGAUCGAACAUCCAUAGAAACCUUGAGUUGCUGAAGACAGUUAGCAAAAACGAGAGUGUAUUGAUCGGCAUCGCUCUCGGGAUAAAGAACAUCGAAUCGGUCGCUACCCUUGAGGGAAUUGAAGGUGUAGACGGGUUUGACGAGGUCGGAUUGAAGAGCACAAGAGAUUUCCCCUUCCUCUAAUUGCUGGAUCACAUGAAGCCAGGAUUCUCGAGUACAGAGGAAGAAUCCGGCCUUGGAGAGAUCGAGAUCUGGAUUGGGAUCGGAGAGCUCGAGACGAGAGACGUUGAGCUCGAGACGACCGCCAUGGCUGAAGCCGAAGACGUCAAAGGGAAUGAUGGGUCGGUUGUCAUUUCUGAUCUCGGUCAAGCGAAUCUCUGCAAAAGACGAUAUGGGUAAGAGGAAGACGAGGAGCAGAAACAUGGAGGAGAAGGAGAAAUCCAUGGCCGCCAUGGCAAAGAGAGUUGAA